AAGUCGUAACAAGGUUUCCGUAGGUGAACCUGCGGAAAAUUUGAAAUACAACUUUCAACAACGGAUCUCUUGGCUCUC
RNAcentral lists this unclassified non-coding RNA (78 nucleotides) under fungal sp. RNAcentral describes it as "partial internal transcribed spacer region". Lineage: Eukaryota; Fungi. The record is from RNAcentral.